AACGAACGCUGGCGGCAGGCCUAACACAUGCAAGUCGAGCGAGCAUUUCGGUGCUAGCGGCGGACGGGUGAGUAACGCGUGGGAACGUGCCCUUUUCUGCGGAAUAGUCCUGGGAAACUGGGGGUAAUACCGCAUACGCCCUUUUGGGGAAAGAUUUAUCGGAGAAGGAUCGGCCCGCGUUGGAUUAGGUAGUUGGUGGGGUAAUGGCCCACCAAGCCGACGAUCCAUAGCUGGUUUGAGAGGAUGAUCAGCCACACUGGGACUGAGACACGGCCCAGACUCCUACGGGAAGCAGCAGUGGGGAAUCUUAGACAAUGGGGGCAACCCUGAUCUAGCCAUGCCGCGUGAGUAAUGAAGGCCUUAGGGUUGUAAAGCUCUUUCAGCUGGGAAGAUAAUGACGGUACCAGCAGAAGAAGCCCCGGCUAACUCCGUG
RNAcentral lists this ribosomal RNA (433 nucleotides) under uncultured bacterium. Its description in RNAcentral is "partial 16S ribosomal RNA". It matches the Rfam family "Bacterial small subunit ribosomal RNA", at positions 29 to 507 of the family's 1533-position model. The record is from RNAcentral.